UGGGGAAUUUUGGACAAUGGGGGGAACCCUGAUCCAGCCAUGCCGCGUGUCUGAAGAAGGCCUUCGGGUUGUAAAGGACUUUUGUUCGGGAGCAAAAGCUGCGACUUAAUACGUUGUGGUGAUGAGAGUACCGAAAGAAUAAGCACCGGCUAACUACGUGCCAGCAGCCGCGGUAAUACGUAGGGUGCGAGCGUUAAUCAGAAUUACUGGGCGUAAAGCGUGCGCAGGCGGUUUAUUAAGUUUGAUGUGAAAUCCCCGGGCUUAACCUGGGAACUGCAUUGGAUACUGGUAGACUAGAGUGCGUCAGAGGGGGGUAGAAUUCCGCGUGUAGCAGUGAAAUGCGUAGAGAUGCGGAGGAAUACCGAUGGCGAAGGCAGCCCCCUGGGAUGACACUGACGCUCAUGUACGAAAGCGUGGGUAGCAAACAGG
This 429-nucleotide ribosomal RNA is filed under the name uncultured bacterium. RNAcentral describes it as "bacterial SSU rRNA". It matches the Rfam family "Bacterial small subunit ribosomal RNA", at positions 355 to 776 of the family's 1533-position model. The record is from RNAcentral.